RNAcentral lists this ribosomal RNA (398 nucleotides) under uncultured bacterium. RNAcentral describes it as "bacterial SSU rRNA". It matches the Rfam family "Bacterial small subunit ribosomal RNA", at positions 36 to 436 of the family's 1533-position model. The record is from RNAcentral.
CUGGCGGGAUCCCCUAAACACAUGCAAGUCGAACGGUAACAGGUCUUCGGAUGCUGACGAGUGGCGAACGGGUGAGUAAUACAUCGGAACGUGCCCGAUCGUGGGGGAUAACGGAGCGAAAGCUUUGCUAAUACCGCAUACGAUCUACGGAUGAAAGCAGGGGACCGCAAGGCCUUGCUCGGACGGAGCGGCCGAUGGCAGAUUAGGUAGUUGGUGGGAUAAAAGCUUACCAAGCCGACGAUCUGUAGCUGGUCUGAGAGGACGACCAGCCACACUGGGACUGAGACACGGCCCAGACUCCUACGGGAGGCAGCAGUGGGGAAUUUUGGAUAAUGGGCGCAAGCCUGAUCCAGCCAUGCCGCGUGCAGGAUGAAGGCCUUCGGGUUGUAAACUGCUUU